UGCCGAUGUGGCGGAACUGGUAGACGCGGUAGACUCAAAAUCUACUUCUGCUCGCAGAGUGUCGGUUCGAGUCCGACCGUCGGCAU
RNAcentral lists this transfer RNA (86 nucleotides) under Chlamydiota bacterium. RNAcentral describes it as "Chlamydiae bacterium tRNA-Leu". It matches the Rfam family "tRNA". Rfam says of the family: Transfer RNA (tRNA) molecules are approximately 80 nucleotides in length. Their secondary structure includes four short double-helical elements and three loops (D, anti-codon, and T loops). The record is from RNAcentral. Lineage: Bacteria; Pseudomonadati; Chlamydiota.